This 460-nucleotide ribosomal RNA is filed under the name uncultured bacterium. Its description in RNAcentral is "bacterial SSU rRNA". It matches the Rfam family "Bacterial small subunit ribosomal RNA", at positions 340 to 786 of the family's 1533-position model. The record is from RNAcentral.
UACGGGAGGCAGCAGUGGGGAAUUUUGGACAAUGGGCGAAAGCCUGAUCCAGCCAUGCCGCGUGCAGGAUGAAGGCCUUCGGGUUGUAAACUGCUUUUGUACGGAACGAAAAGCCUCUUUCUAAUAAAGAGGGGUCAUGACGGUACCGUAAGAAUAAGCACCGGCUAACUACGUGCCAGCAGCCGCGGUAAUACGUAGGGUGCAAGCGUUAAUCGGAAUUACUGGGCGUAAAGCGUGCGCAGGCGGUUUUUGUAAAGCAGAGGUGAAAUCCCCGGGCUCAACCUGGGAACUGCCUUUUGUGACUGCAAGGCUGGAGUGCGGCAGAGGGGGAUGGAAUUCCGGCGUGUAGCAGUGAAAUGCGUAGAUAUGCGGAGGAACACCGGAUGGGCGAAGGCAAUCCCCUGGGCCUGCACUGACGCUCAUGCACGAAAGCUGGGGAGCAAACGAGGAUUAGGAUACC